This 458-nucleotide ribosomal RNA is filed under the name uncultured bacterium. RNAcentral describes it as "partial 16S ribosomal RNA". It matches the Rfam family "Bacterial small subunit ribosomal RNA", at positions 339 to 795 of the family's 1533-position model. The record is from RNAcentral.
CUACGGGUGGCAGCAGUGAGGAAUAUUGGUCAAUGGCCGGAAGGCUGAACCAGCCAAGCCGCGUGAAGGACGAAGGUGCCAAGCAUUGUAAACUUCUUUUGUCAAGGGACAAAAUCAGGCUCGAGAGCCUGACCGAGGGUACUUGAAGAAAAAGCAUCGGCUAACUCCGUGCCAGUAGCCGCGGUAAUACGGAGGAUGCGAGCUGUAUCCGGAUUUAUUAGGUUUAAAGGGUGCGUAGGCGGACUGUUAAGUCAGCGGUAAAAGCCCGGGGCUCAACCCCGGCGAGCCGUUGAAAAUGGCUGUCUUGGGAUGUCGAGAGGUAUGCGGAAUGCGCAGUGUAGCGGUGAAAUGCUUAGAUAUUGCGCAGAACUCCGAUUGCGAAGGCAGCAUACCGGCGGCGAUCUGACGCUGAGGCACGAAAGCGUGGGUAUCGAACAGGAUUAGAUACCCGAGUAGUC